Non-coding RNA from Aedes aegypti (yellow fever mosquito), 114 nucleotides. The record is from Rfam. Lineage: Eukaryota; Metazoa; Arthropoda; Insecta; Diptera; Culicidae.
GUUGGCUACGGCGACAUGGCACCGAAAACCUACAUCGGGAUGUUUGUCGGAGCGUUGUGUGCUUUGGCCGGAGUGCUGACGAUCGCUCUUCCGGUUCCGGUCAUCGUGAGCAAU